This 500-nucleotide ribosomal RNA is filed under the name uncultured bacterium. RNAcentral describes it as "bacterial SSU rRNA". It matches the Rfam family "Bacterial small subunit ribosomal RNA", at positions 16 to 518 of the family's 1533-position model. The record is from RNAcentral.
UUAUGGCGUCAGGAUGAACGCUGGCGGCGUGCCUAACACAUGCAAGUCGAACGGGACUGAUUCUACGGAGAUCGUCGAAGCAGAUGAAAGUUUAGUGGCGGACGGGUGAGUAACGCGUGGGUAACCUGCCUCAUAGAGGGGGACAACAGCUGGAAACGGCUGCUAAUACCGCAUAAGCCCACACUGCCGCAUGGCAGAGGGGGAAAAGAUUUAUCGCUAUGAGAUGGACCCGCGUUUGAUUAGCUAGUUGGCGGUAUAACGGACCACCAAGGCGACGAUCAAUAGCCGGACUGAGAGGUUGAACGGCCACAUUGGGACUGAGACACGGCCCAAACUCCUACGGGAGGCAGCAGUGGGGAAUAUUGCACAAUGGGGGAAACCCUGAAUGCAGCGACGCCGCGUGGGUGAAGAAGUUUUUCGGAAUGUAAAGCCCUAUCAGCAGGGAAGAUAAUGACGGUACCUGACUAAGAAGCCCCGGCUAACUACGUGCCAGCCGCCGC